GCUCCCGUGGUGUAGUCCGGUCUGAAGAAGAUCCAUCAUAGGAUGGUUAUUCUUUGGGGAUAACCAAUCAUUUCGGAUUUUCGAUCCGAAGACCUGGGUUCAAAUCCCGGCGGGAGCA
RNAcentral lists this transfer RNA (118 nucleotides) under Nanobdellota archaeon. RNAcentral describes it as "tRNA-Glu". The record is from RNAcentral. Lineage: Archaea; Nanobdellati; Nanobdellota.